This 23-nucleotide ribosomal RNA is filed under the name Polyfibrospongia flabellifera. Its description in RNAcentral is "Carteriospongia flabellifera partial 5.8S ribosomal RNA". The record is from RNAcentral. Lineage: Eukaryota; Metazoa; Porifera; Demospongiae; Dictyoceratida; Thorectidae.
GAGCAGGUCUGUUCGAGCGUCCG